This 421-nucleotide ribosomal RNA is filed under the name Megasphaera geminata. RNAcentral's name for it is "bacterial SSU rRNA". It matches the Rfam family "Bacterial small subunit ribosomal RNA", at positions 28 to 420 of the family's 1533-position model. Lineage: Bacteria; Bacillati; Bacillota; Negativicutes; Veillonellales; Veillonellaceae. The record is from RNAcentral.
GACGAACGCUGGCGGCGUGCGUAACACAUGCAAGUCGAACGAGAGAGUGAGAGAAGCUUGCUUUUCUUACAAUCGAGUGGCAAACGGGUGAGUAACGCGUAAACAACCUGCCCCGCAGAUGGGGACAACAGCUGGAAACGGCUGCUAAUACCGAAUACGGUCCUCUUAGCGCAUGGUAAGAGGAAGAAAGGGUGGCCUCUGGAACAAGCUACCGCUGUGGGAGGGGUUUGCGUCUGAUUAGCUGGUUGGAGGGGUAACGGCCCACCAAGGCGACGAUCAGUAGCCGGUCUGAGAGGAUGAACGGCCACAUUGGAACUGAGACACGGUCCAGACUCCUACGGGAGGCAGCAGUGGGGAAUCUUCCGCAAUGGGCGAAAAGCCCUGACGGAGCAAACGCCGCGUGAGUGAAAGACGGGCCCUU